Molecule: non-coding RNA, 716 nt
Organism: Paramuricea clavata
Lineage: Eukaryota; Metazoa; Cnidaria; Anthozoa; Malacalcyonacea; Plexauridae
Source: the annotation of a GenBank genome assembly
AUGACUUGGGAAAUUUUCAUGACUUGGGAAUUGUCCUGGCUAAUAAAUUGACUUGUUAUUUACCCUGUACCCCGGGGGAAAUCUGCAUUAAGACCGUGUUAAUCCACGGCCAUUCCCUGUUAAUUCCCCACCCUGUCCCGGGGGUUGGGGGUUUCAAUUGACUAGUGCAUGCAUAAACAUUGCAAAGGUCCAUUUUGUAAAUUAAUGGCACUAUGUAUUUAAUCUUAAUUUAUAGGGCCUGUGAGUUCAUAUCUGGAAUAAAAUAAUGGCAAUUCUACAGAAAUAUCACUGCUAAGGAGUGUCAAACAAAUUCAGGAGGACUGAAUUAACUGGAUGUUCUCAGGAUGCAAAAGAAAUUGUUGACUUUAAAUGAAUAAUCAUUAUCAUUAAUGUAAGGUUAAAAAUAUUGAACAUUCAAAAGGAUGCAAACAGAAAGUUGAAAGUAGGGCCUGAAUUUCAGGUUAAGUGAUCCAGGAAUGGGGUUGGCCCUCUGCAGGCUAAAUCAAUUGAGGGAGAUCCCUUUAUUUCAAGUUAAAUGAUUAUUUGAAUAAGAUGCCAUUCAGGCAAUAAGGGCCUGGUUAGGUCCAUAUUUUAAUUCAAAUUAUUAAGUACUCGAUUUAUCCAUCAACAAAACCCAACAUUAAAAUUUCCAUCGAGUGUGAUGCAACAAAACCAUCUAUAGUUUAUUAAUUAUGUUAACCUAACCCAUCAACUGG